GUYUUUUUGUUAAAAAUUUAAAGUCGGGCCUGCCCACUGAAACUUUAAAUGGCCGUGGUAUUUUGACCGUGCUAAGGUAGCAUAAUCAUUAGUUUUUUAAUUGAAAGCUGGAAUGAAAGGUUUGAUAAAAAAAUGACUGUCUCUAUUUAAUUUUAUUAGAAAUUUAUUUUUAAGUUCAAAAGCUUAAUUUUUAUUAAAAGACGAGAAGACCCUAUAGAGUUUAAUAAUUUAAGGUAAUUUAUAUUUUAGAAUUAAUUCAUUUAUUUUUUAAUAUUAUUUAAUUGGGGUGAUUGAAAAAUUUAAUUAACUUUUUUUAUAUUUGACCAUUAAUUUAUGAUAAUUUGAUCCAAUUUUUUUGAUUAUAAGAUAAAAUUACCUUAGGGAUAACAGCGUAAUUUUUUUAGAAAGUUCAAAUUAAAAGAAAAGAUUGCGACCUCGAUGUUGGAUUAAAAUUAAAUUUUGGUGUAGAAGCUAAAAAAUUUUAAGUCUGUUCGACUUUUAAAAUUUUACA
RNAcentral lists this ribosomal RNA (511 nucleotides) under Calligrapha ignota. RNAcentral describes it as "partial 16S ribosomal RNA". The stretch from base 383 to 511 matches the Rfam family "Bacterial large subunit ribosomal RNA", at positions 2473 to 2600 of the family's 2925-position model. The record is from RNAcentral. Lineage: Eukaryota; Metazoa; Arthropoda; Insecta; Coleoptera; Chrysomelidae.